UUCCGGUUGAUCCUGCCGGAGGUCACUGCUAUUGGGAUUCGGCUAAGCCAUGCAAGCGGAGGGCGCGGUCGAAAGAUCGUGGCCCCGCACACUGCUCAGUAACACGUAGUCAAUCUACCCUUGGGACGGGGACAACCUCGGGAAACUGAGGCUAAUCCCCGAUAGGUGAGGGACGCUGGAAUGCCUCCUCGCCCAAAGCUCCGGCGCCCAAGGAUGGGACUGCGGUCUAUCAGGCUGUUGGUGGUGUAACGGACCACCAAACCUACGACGGGUACGGGCGAUGGGAGUCGGAGCCCGGAGAUGGGGACUGAGACAAGGCCCCAGGCCCUACGGGGCGCAGCAGGCGCGAAAACUCCGCAAUGCGCGCAAGCGUGACGGGGGAAUCCCAAGUGCCGUUGGUCUUAUGAUCGACGGUUUUUAGGAAGUCUAAGAAGCUUCCAGAAUAAGGGCUGGGCAAGACUGGUGCCAGCCGCCGCGGUAACACCAGCAGCCCAAGUGGUGACCACGAUUAUUGGGCCUAAAGCGCUCGUAGCCGGAUCAGCAAGUCCCUUGUGAAAUCGGGCCGCCUAACGGUUCGGCGUGCAAGGGAUACUGUUGGUCUUGAGGCCGGGAGAGGUCGGAGGUACUCCUGGGGUAGCGGUGAAAUGCUCUAAUCCUAGGGGGACCACCAGUGGCGAAGGCGUCCGACCAGAACGGACCUGACGGUGAGGGGCGAAGGCUAGGGGAGCGAACGGGAUUAGAUACCCCGGUAGUCCUAGCUGUAAAGCAUGCGGGCCAGGUGUCUAGCGCUCCUUGAGGGCGCUAGGUGCCGGAGGGAAGCCGUUAAGCCCGCCGCCUGGGAAGUACGGCCGCAAGGCUGAAACUUAAAGAAAUUGGCGGGGGAGCACCACAAGAGUGGGACCUGCGGUUCAAUUGGAAUCAACGCCGGU
RNAcentral lists this ribosomal RNA (929 nucleotides) under uncultured archaeon. RNAcentral's name for it is "bacterial SSU rRNA". It matches the Rfam family "Archaeal small subunit ribosomal RNA", at positions 1 to 922 of the family's 1478-position model. The record is from RNAcentral.